RNAcentral lists this ribosomal RNA (240 nucleotides) under uncultured bacterium. Its description in RNAcentral is "partial 16S ribosomal RNA". It matches the Rfam family "Bacterial small subunit ribosomal RNA", at positions 15 to 235 of the family's 1533-position model. The record is from RNAcentral.
GAUCAUGGCUCAGGAUGAACGCUGGCGGCGUGCCUAACACAUGCAAGUCGAACGGAGUUACUUUGGUGAAGUUUUCGGAUGGAUCUGAUUUAACUUAGUGGCGGACGGGUGAGUAAUGCGUGAGCAACCUGCCCUUCAGAGGGGGACGAACAGUUGGAAACGACUGCUAAUACCGCAUAAUGUAUCCGGGAGGCAUCUCCUGGAUACCAAAGGAGAAAUCCGCUGAUGGAUGGGCUCACG